AUGGGUGGGUUGGGAUUUAGGGAUACUGAGCUAUUCAACCUUGCUAUGCUGGCAAAACAAGGAUGGAUGAUACUUCAGGAGCCUGGCUCGCUAAGUGCAAGAAUUCUAAAGGCAAAGUACUUCCCGUCAGUUGAUUUAUUUAGCGCAAAACUUGGAUCACAUCCAUCACAAGUAAGGAGAGCAGUACAUGCAGGUUUGGAAGUUUUAAAGCAGGGGCUUAUUCGAGGGAUUGGUAACGGUCUAACGGAGAGUCCACUUCUGUGUGGAACCAACACUAGUAGAAAAAGGGCCUGUUGUCCCGGUUCCUGA
Molecule: ribosomal RNA, 309 nt
Filed under: Triticum aestivum (bread wheat)
Lineage: Eukaryota; Viridiplantae; Streptophyta; Magnoliopsida; Poales; Poaceae
Description: partial small subunit ribosomal RNA
Source: RNAcentral